UACGGGGGGGGCAAGCGUUGUUCGGAAUUACUGGGCGUAAAGGGCGCGUAGGCGGCGAACCAAGUCAGAUGUGAAAGUCCUGGGCUUAACCUGGGGACUGCAUUUGAUACUGGUUUGCUUGAAUUCGGGAGAGGAUAGCGGAAUUCCCAGUGUAGAGGUGAAAUUCGUAGAUAUUGGGAAGAACACCGGUGGCGAAGGCGGCUAUCUGGACCGACAUUGACGCUGAGGCGCGAAAGCGUGGGGAGCAAACAGG
RNAcentral lists this ribosomal RNA (253 nucleotides) under uncultured bacterium. RNAcentral's name for it is "partial 16S ribosomal RNA". It matches the Rfam family "Bacterial small subunit ribosomal RNA", at positions 524 to 776 of the family's 1533-position model. The record is from RNAcentral.